Molecule: microRNA precursor, 133 nt
Filed under: Podarcis lilfordi (Lilford's wall lizard)
Lineage: Eukaryota; Metazoa; Chordata; Lepidosauria; Squamata; Lacertidae
Source: RNAcentral
UGUCCAGUAGCACCUUAGAGACCAACUAAGUUUGUUCUGGGUAUAAGCUUUUGUGGUAUCUGAAGAAGUGUGCAUGCACACGAAAGCUUAUACCCAGAACAAACGUAGUUGGCCUCUAAGGUGCUACUGGACA